This is a transfer RNA of Wallemia ichthyophaga EXF-994, 73 nucleotides long. It matches the Rfam family "tRNA". From Rfam's summary of the family: Transfer RNA (tRNA) molecules are approximately 80 nucleotides in length. NCBI's taxonomy places the organism in Eukaryota, Fungi, Basidiomycota, Wallemiomycetes, Wallemiales, Wallemiaceae. The record is from Rfam.
GCGUCUUUAGCUAAACGGUCAAAGCGUCCAUCUACGAAAUGGGAGAAUUACGGUUCGAUUCCGUAAAGGCGUU